Molecule: ribosomal RNA, 839 nt
Filed under: Streptomyces sp. FS-YC6712
Lineage: Bacteria; Bacillati; Actinomycetota; Actinomycetes; Kitasatosporales; Streptomycetaceae
Description: bacterial SSU rRNA
Rfam family: Bacterial small subunit ribosomal RNA
Source: RNAcentral
CAUGCAGUCGAACGGUGAAGCCCUUCGGGGUGGAUCAGUGGCGAACGGGUGAGUAACACGGUGGGCAAUCUGCCCUGCACUCUGGGACAACCCGGGGAAACCCGGGCUAAUACCGGAUACGACCCUCCAGGGCAUCCUGGGGGGUGGAAAGCUCCGGCGGUGCAGGAUGAGCCCGCGGCCUAUCAGCUUGUUGGUGGGGUGAUGGCCCACCAAGGCGACGACGGGUAGCCGGCCUGAGAGGGCGACCGGCCACACUGGGACUGAGACACGGCCCAGACUCCUACGGGAGGCAGCAGUGGGGAAUAUUGCACAAUGGGCGCAAGCCUGAUGCAGCGACGCCGCGUGAGGGAUGACGGCCUUCGGGUUGUAAACCUCUUUCAGCAGGGAAGAAGCGCAAGUGACGGUACCUGCAGAANAAGCACCGGCUAACUACGUGCCAGCAGCCGCGGUAAUACGUAGGGUGCGAGCGUUGUCCGGAAUUAUUGGGCGUAAAGAGCUCGUAGGCGGCUUGUCGCGUCGGUCGUGAAAGCCCGGGGCUUAACCCCGGGUCUGCGGUCGAUACGGGCAGGCUAGAGUUCGGUAGGGGAGAUCGGAAUUCCUGGUGUAGCGGUGAAAUGCGCAGAUAUCAGGAGGAACACCGGUGGCGAAGGCGGAUCUCUGGGCCGAUACUGACGCUGAGGAGCGAAAGCGUGGGGAGCGAACAGGAUUAGAUACCCUGGUAGUCCACGCCGUAAACGUUGGGAACUAGGUGUGGGCGACAUUCCACGUCGUCCGUGCCGCAGCUAACGCAUUAAGUUCCCCGCCUGGGGAGUACGGCCGCAAGGCUAAAACUCAAAGGA